RNAcentral lists this ribosomal RNA (255 nucleotides) under uncultured bacterium. RNAcentral describes it as "partial 16S ribosomal RNA". It matches the Rfam family "Bacterial small subunit ribosomal RNA", at positions 524 to 776 of the family's 1533-position model. The record is from RNAcentral.
UACGAAGGGGGCUAGCGUUGCUCGGAAUGACUGGGCGUAAAGGGCGCGUAGGCGGCUUGCACAGUCAGGCGUGAAAUUCCUGGGCUCAACCUGGGGACUGCGCUUGAGACGUGUGGGCUUGAGUGGGGAAGAGGGUCGUGGAAUUCCCAGUGUAGAGGUGAAAUUCGUAGAUAUUGGGAAGAACACCGGUGGCGAAGGCGGCGACCUGGUCCUUGACUGACGCUGGAGGCGACGAAAGCGUGGGGAGCAAACAGG